RNAcentral lists this transfer RNA (77 nucleotides) under Nitrospira sp. CR1.3. Its description in RNAcentral is "tRNA-Arg". It matches the Rfam family "tRNA". From Rfam's summary of the family: Transfer RNA (tRNA) molecules are approximately 80 nucleotides in length. Their secondary structure includes four short double-helical elements and three loops (D, anti-codon, and T loops). Lineage: Bacteria; Pseudomonadati; Nitrospirota; Nitrospiria; Nitrospirales; Nitrospiraceae. The record is from RNAcentral.
GCGCCCGUAGCUCAGUUGGAUAGAGCAUCAGCCUUCUAAGCUGAGGGUCGCUGGUUCGAGUCCAGCCGGGCGCACCA